This 873-nucleotide ribosomal RNA is filed under the name Pseudocercospora snelliana. Its description in RNAcentral is "LSU rRNA". It matches the Rfam family "Eukaryotic large subunit ribosomal RNA", at positions 35 to 938 of the family's 3401-position model. The record is from RNAcentral. Lineage: Eukaryota; Fungi; Ascomycota; Dothideomycetes; Mycosphaerellales; Mycosphaerellaceae.
UAAGCAUAUCAAUAAGCGGAGGAAAAGAAACCCAACAGGGAUUGCCCUAGUAACGGCGAGUGAAGCGGCAACAGCUCAAAUUUGAAAUCUGGCGUAAGCCCGAGUUGUAAUUUGUAGAGGAUGCUUCUGGGUAGCGGCCGGUCUAAGUUCCUUGGAACAGGACGUCAUAGAGGGUGAGAAUCCCGUAUGUGACUGGCUUGCACCCUCCACGUAGCUCCUUCGACGAGUCGAGUUGUUUGGGAAUGCAGCUCUAAAUGGGAGGUAAAUUUCUUCUAAAGCUAAAUACCGGCCAGAGACCGAUAGCGCACAAGUAGAGUGAUCGAAAGAUGAAAAGCACUUUGGAAAGAGAGUUAAAAAGCACGUGAAAUUGUUGAAAGGGAAGCGCCCGCAACCAGACUUUGCGGCGGUGUUCGGCCGGUCUUCUGACCGGUUUACUCGCCGCCGUGAGGCCAUCAUCGUCUGGGACCGCUGGAUAAGACCUGAGGAAUGUAGCUCCCUUCGGGGUGUGUUAUAGCCUCUGGUGAUGCAGCGCGUCUCGGGCGAGGUCCGCGCUUCGGCAAGGAUGAUGGCGUAAUGGUUGUCGGCGGCCCGUCUUGAAACACGGACCAAGGAGUCUAACAUCUAUGCGAGUGUUCGGGUGUCAAACCCCUACGCGUAAUGAAAGUGAACGGAGGUGGGAACUUUUUGUGCACCAUCGACCGAUCCUGAUGUCCUCGGAUGGAUUUGAGUAAGAGCAUAGCUGUUGGGACCCGAAAGAUGGUGAACUAUGCCUGAAUAGGGUGAAGCCAGAGGAAACUCUGGUGGAGGCUCGCAGCGGUUCUGACGUGCAAAUCGAUCGUCAAAUUUGGGUAUAGGGGGCGAAAGACUAAUCGA